This 74-nucleotide transfer RNA is filed under the name Eubacterium sp. RNAcentral's name for it is "tRNA-Asp". It matches the Rfam family "tRNA". Rfam says of the family: Transfer RNA (tRNA) molecules are approximately 80 nucleotides in length. RNAcentral also lists the same sequence under 1 other name. The record is from RNAcentral. Lineage: Bacteria; Bacillati; Bacillota; Clostridia; Eubacteriales; Eubacteriaceae.
GGCCCAAUGGCUCAGAUGGUUAGAGCGCCGCCCUGUCACGGCGGAGGUCGCGGGUUCGAGUCCCGCUUGGGUCG